CUAGGUCUUGCAGCUAGUGAGUCUGAGGCCUGAUUUGAAUGCAGAUUUUCUUGAUUUCAGGACCAGUGCGCUGACAAAUGCUGAAAGAAGAGCAAGUGAGAGGAAAUAUGUCACUAGCAUGGAAAUAGAGGUGGAGGAGGGUUGGUUUGAGUGAAUGAAAAGUCAGAGCUUCAUUGACUGAAGAAAUAAUAAAAUAGAAUACUUAAGAAAUUGCAGACAUAAGGUGGAAGCUGACUCUCCAACAAGUUAUUGAAUUUCUGAAUAUCUCCCUAGAGAUUUUGAAGAGGAAAUUUCUCCUUUAGUGAGAUCAGAGACUUUCUCUUGGUUUGAACUGAGAUCUUCUCAUCGUCACAGCAGAAGAGCUUAUGUGGAAUUCUGAUUCAAAGUUCAUAAGUGAGGCAAAAAUCCAGAUGACUGGUGAUGGCUCAGAAUGCAGUGGAAGACCUUUGCAACUCUGGAGACCAAGUUCUAAGUGCUCCACAGUACCCACUUUUAACACGUUGAUGACCAUUGGAACAAAUUGCUCUCAUCUGCCCCUUCCAUUGGGGUAG
This 551-nucleotide long non-coding RNA is filed under the name Monodelphis domestica (gray short-tailed opossum). Its description in RNAcentral is "lncRNA (ENSMODG00000033564.2)". The record is from RNAcentral. Lineage: Eukaryota; Metazoa; Chordata; Mammalia; Didelphimorphia; Didelphidae.